GGGCACAUGGUGUAGUUGGUUUAUCACGCCCGCUUAGCAUCUACGUUGUCGCUGCGGGAGGUGUUGGGUUUAAUUCCCAAUGUGUCCA
Molecule: non-coding RNA, 88 nt
Organism: Armillaria nabsnona
Lineage: Eukaryota; Fungi; Basidiomycota; Agaricomycetes; Agaricales; Physalacriaceae
Source: the annotation of a GenBank genome assembly